AGAGUUUGAUCCUGGCUCAGGAUGAACGCUGGCGGCGUGCCUAACACAUGCAAGUUGAGCGAUUUACUUCGGUAAAGAGCGGCGGACGGGUGAGUAACGCGUGGGUAACCUACCCUGUACACACGGAUAACAUACCGAAAGGUAUGCUAAUACGGGAUAAUAUAUUUGAGAGGCAUCUCUUGAAUAUCAAAGGUGAGCCAGUACAGGAUGGACCCGCGUCUGAUUAGCUAGUUGGUAAGGUAACGGCUUACCAAGGCGACGAUCAGUAGCCGACCUGAGAGGGUGAUCGGCCACAUUGGAACUGAGACACGGUCCAAACUCCUACGGGAGGCAGCAGUGGGGAAUAUUGCACAAUGGGCGAAAGCCUGAUGCAGCAACGCCGCGUGAGUGAUGAAGGCCUUCGGGUCGUAAAACUCUGUCCUCAAGGAAGAUAAUGACGGUACUUGAGGAGGAAGCCCCGGCUAACUACGUGCCAGCAGCCGCGGUAAUACGUAGGGGGCUAGCGUUAUCCGGAUUUACUGGGCGUAAAGGGUGCGUAGGCGGUCUUUCAAGUCAGGAGUGAAAGGCUACGGCUCAACCGUAGUAAGCUCUUGAAACUGGGAGACUUGAGUGCAGGAGAGGAGAGUGGAAUUCCUAGUGUAGCGGUGAAAUGCGUAGAUAUUAGGAGGAACACCAGUUGCGAAGGCGGCUCUCUGGACUGUAACUGACGCUGAGGCACGAAAGCGUGGGGAGCAAACAGGAUUAGAUACCCUGGUAGUCCACGCUGUAAACGAUGAGUACUAGGUGUCGGGGGUUACCCCCUUCGGUGCCG
Molecule: ribosomal RNA, 811 nt
Filed under: Clostridioides difficile E28
Lineage: Bacteria; Bacillati; Bacillota; Clostridia; Peptostreptococcales; Peptostreptococcaceae
Description: bacterial SSU rRNA
Rfam family: Bacterial small subunit ribosomal RNA
Source: RNAcentral